CGCGUGAGGAACCUGCCUCAAAGAGGGGGACAACAGUUGGAAACGACUGCUAAUACCGCAUAAGCCCACGACCCGGCAUCGGGUAGAGGGAAAAGGAGCAAUCCGCUUUGAGAUGGCCUCGCGUCCGAUUAGCUAGUUGGUGAGGUAACGGCCCACCAAGGCGACGAUCGGUAGCCGGACUGAGAGGUUGAACGGCCACAUUGGGACUGAGACACGGCCCAG
RNAcentral lists this ribosomal RNA (222 nucleotides) under uncultured bacterium. Its description in RNAcentral is "partial 16S ribosomal RNA". It matches the Rfam family "Bacterial small subunit ribosomal RNA", at positions 114 to 334 of the family's 1533-position model. The record is from RNAcentral.